This 301-nucleotide ribosomal RNA is filed under the name uncultured bacterium. Its description in RNAcentral is "partial 16S ribosomal RNA". It matches the Rfam family "Bacterial small subunit ribosomal RNA", at positions 509 to 809 of the family's 1533-position model. The record is from RNAcentral.
CAGUCGCCGCGGGAACACAGAGGGUGCAAGCGUUAAUCGGAAUUACUGGGCGUAAAGCGCGCGUAGGUGGUUCGCCAAGUUGGAUGUGAAAUCCCCGGGCUCAACCUGGGAACUGCAUCCAAAACUGGCGAGCUAGAGUAUGGUAGAGGGUGGUGGAAUUUCCUGUGUAGCGGUGAAAUGCGUAGAUAUAGGAAGGAACACCAGUGGCGAAGGCGGCCAUCUGGGACAACACUGACGCUGAGGCACGAAAGCGUGGGGAGCAAACAGGAUUAGAUACCCGUGUAGUCCCUGUCUCUUAUAA